AGCCGGGUCGUCUAGCGGCCAAGGAUGGCGGGCUUUGGACCCGUUGACCCCGGUUCGAAUCCGGGCCCGGCUACCA
This 76-nucleotide transfer RNA is filed under the name Vulcanisaeta distributa DSM 14429. Its description in RNAcentral is "tRNA-Gln (TTG) (tRNA-Gln-TTG-1-1)". It matches the Rfam family "tRNA". Rfam says of the family: Transfer RNA (tRNA) molecules are approximately 80 nucleotides in length. Their secondary structure includes four short double-helical elements and three loops (D, anti-codon, and T loops). Lineage: Archaea; Thermoproteati; Thermoproteota; Thermoprotei; Thermoproteales; Thermoproteaceae. RNAcentral also lists the same sequence under 5 other names. The record is from RNAcentral.